RNAcentral lists this long non-coding RNA (2586 nucleotides) under Anser brachyrhynchus (Pink-footed goose). RNAcentral's name for it is "lncRNA (ENSABRG00000005096.1)". The record is from RNAcentral. Lineage: Eukaryota; Metazoa; Chordata; Aves; Anseriformes; Anatidae.
CCGAGCUGGUGCACACGUGCACAUCUGUAAGGGCUGGACUUCGGUGGGGCUGGAUCAGGGGCGGAUUUAACCUCGUAUCUGAAGUUUACCAAAAAACCAGAGCCAUUUAAAUGUAUUCUUAACCUUAUUUUUUUUUUCCAGCAAUUCUUAUUAAUGACUGCAGCUUGGAAGCUGCUGCCUUUGUGUAUCUGAAGAGGCUGUGAGCGUUGGCUUUUCAGAAACCCUUCCCGGAGCCUUCCACAGCUGCACUUCUGGUUUACAUUUGAAAGGUUUCCUAACCUGCUGCGCUGCAUCCCUGUGCAGUCACUGGGGUCCCAAAGCCGCCACCCAUCGUCACUGGGGUCUCGGAGAGCUUCAGCCCACCAGGUCGAUGUGGCAGCAGGUAUAUACUUUGUGCAGUCGCUUUUCUCCUGGGAAAGAACGUGACUUCAUGGCAGGCAGGAAUGCUGACCCACUUGUCUCCUGCUGCAAGCAUCCAUCAAAUCCAGCCUCCGAGUCCCCUGGAGUCUUAAUUUUCCUCUUGACAGCAAAGACAAAUGACCCCCCCAGGGCUGUUUGCUCAUGUCUACCCAAAGUUUCCAUGACGUUUCUUGAAGAUGACCUGUUUUUUAAACACAAAUGGAGUUUUCUUUCUGCUGUCACCUACAAGCGCGAAGGCAGAGUCAGGCUUGUUUUAAGAAAACCUCACAGCGCCAAUCCCCAACACAUCCUCCUUCUCUUCUCUCUGCUUUAGGCUUCUUACACUUCCUAGAUGUUGCCAGAUGUAAUACUUUUCCCUCUUUUGGGGUUGUCCUGCACAGAUAUGGUGAUAUUUCAUUUUCAUUUGCAGUGCAACAACCAGUAGAAAAUAUUUUUUCCAGUAUUUUUCCAAUCCACCAGAAGUUUUGGUUUUUUUUUUUUCUCAAAUCACAAUGAAAUCUGAUUUAUUUUUUCCUGUCCUGUCUUUUCUUUCCUCUACAAAGCUUCCUCAGCACCAUGCCACCAGCUCCCAAGUAUCUGUCUCAAUGCAACUUCUUUUCCAGUAAUGCCACCUGUGAGCAGAGUGAAGCAGUGGCCACAAGCCUGCCAGACUCUCACCUACUCACGGGCAUUUUAACCUCUGCAAAACAGCACCUUACCACCCCUUCUCCUUCUCCCCAGCCCCACCGAAUACACCUGAACUCUGAGUGCCAUGAGCUUGCUGCAGACUUGGGAAGGCAGGCAGAAAACACAAGCAAAUAUCUGGUUUUGUCAUUAAAAUCUGCACUAAAAGGAUGCAGAGAAAUAGGGACAAAGCAACUUAAAUUCCCCAGUUGUCUAAUUCCAGAGAUCUUGUCUUUGUAACUGCAAUACAUCGUUUUAAUAUAGCUCUUGGCAAAAAUGUGCUUCCCUUUAUUUCCUUCCUUUCAGAAACUAAAAAAAAACCCUGUAGCAUCAUGCACGAGGUCUUAUACCGGGAAACACCGAGCGCUGCGAGGAGCACUGCCAGCCCUGGCUGUAAUUAAACCCCCAUAAAAAUGAAGACACUUUCUGGCCAGGAUCAUCCUGGUGCUGAAAGAGGGAAGAAAGCAGUUGCGGCUUUCCAGUUUCCCUUGGCGCAGGGAUUUUCCGACCAGCCUGGCCAUCGCAGGGACGGGAAGAUCAGCGCCGGACCACCUGGGUGCUGGCCGUGCUUGGCGAGUCCCUCCUGGCACCCCCGUUUCCAAACACCGCAGAGCAGCCCCGAGGUUGCACAAAGUCUCUUUGCUCUCUGGAACGAGCUCCUUUUUCGCAUGAAAUCUGUGCGGUCCAGGCACACCACGUUACGAACCCUUCUUGGCUAUUCAGCGCAAUGAUCACAUCCUGCAGAGCUGUGAUUUUCUGCGUGCAUGGAAAAGGCCUCUCAAAGCCACCGCUUUGUCCUGCUGGUGUAUGUGGCUGCUUAAUAUAUAUUGGAUAAUUUAAACAAUCCACAUGCCAUAACGUGCUCCCAAAUGUUUAGUUGAGUGUCCCCAAAUUUGUUUUGCUUGUUUAUCCUUCCAUUUGUUUGGAACAUAACCGUUCUUUGACUUUGCCCUGUGCCUUUCAGCAUUAUUUUAUGGAAAUCCCAAUUUCCUUUCCUGAAAGAAACCCUGAUGAUAAUGAGAGGCUUCGAGCUUUUCAAACAAAAAGGCAGUUUGAGUCAAUUCUGCGUUUUGCUUUUAAUCAAAACUAGUUGUGUGCAUUUGCACCACAAUGCUCCAUAUGGGCUUGGUUGCUGGCAUUCAGCGAAGGGCAGGGGCAACUGAAAAAGCUCCCCAUUUUUCAAAGGUUUAACGAUGGACUUGCAAAAGUGUAAUUUGUCAGAUGUCAAAUUUUCCAGAAUCACUGGAAAAAAUCCCUGGAAACAUGUUGUGGAAUCACAGAGACAAAAUUUCACAUGGGCAGAGCAGCACAGCAGCACUUACCUGCAGGGAGAGAGUAGGAAAUAGGAAACGGGGAAGUUUUAAUGGACCCUGAAAGGUUUUUUCGUGUUUUAUCUGGAUAUCGGUCUUCCGUUUUAGCUGUGAUUCAUUUUUCAGGCACACCAUUUUGACUCAAUUUAUACUGAAUCUACAAUAAAUAAGAAGGAAAACAAGCUACGGUCCA